UACGGAGGAUGCGAGCGUUAUCCGGAUUUAUUGGGUUUAAAGGGUGCGCAGACGGCACGGCAAGCCGGCGGUCAAAUCGCGGGGCUCAACCCCGCCCAGCCGUCGGAACUGCCGGGCUAGAGUGGGCGAGAAGUGCGCGGAAUGCGUGGUGUAGCGGUGAAAUGCAUAGAUAUCACGCAGAACUCCGAUUGCGAAGGCAGCGCACCGGCGCCCUACUGACGCUCAGGCACGAAAGCGUGGGUAUCGAACAGG
This 252-nucleotide ribosomal RNA is filed under the name uncultured bacterium. RNAcentral describes it as "partial 16S ribosomal RNA". It matches the Rfam family "Bacterial small subunit ribosomal RNA", at positions 524 to 776 of the family's 1533-position model. The record is from RNAcentral.